UACGGAGGAUCCAAGCGUUAUCCGGAAUCAUUGGGUUUAAAGGGUCCGUAGGCGGUUUUGUAAGUCAGUGGUGAAAGCCCUUCGCUCAACGGUGGAACGGCCAUUGAUACUGCAAGACUUGAAUUAUAGGGAAGUAACUAGAAUAUGUAGUGUAGCGGUGAAAUGCUUAGAUAUUACAUGGAAUACCAAUUGCGAAGGCAGGUUACUACCUAUAUAUUGACGCUGAUGGACGAAAGCGUGGGGAGCGAACAGG
RNAcentral lists this ribosomal RNA (253 nucleotides) under uncultured bacterium. RNAcentral's name for it is "partial 16S ribosomal RNA". It matches the Rfam family "Bacterial small subunit ribosomal RNA", at positions 524 to 776 of the family's 1533-position model. The record is from RNAcentral.